UCCCUGGCAGUUCAGAGGUUAGAAGUCAACGCUUUCACUGCUGGGGGCCCAGGUUCAAACCCUGGUCAAGGAA
This 73-nucleotide transfer RNA is filed under the name Ovis aries (sheep). It matches the Rfam family "tRNA". From Rfam's summary of the family: Transfer RNA (tRNA) molecules are approximately 80 nucleotides in length. Lineage: Eukaryota; Metazoa; Chordata; Mammalia; Artiodactyla; Bovidae. The record is from Rfam by way of RNAcentral.